GCUACGGGAGGCAGCAGUGAGGAAUAUUGGUCAAUGGGCGCGAGCCUGAACCAGCCAAGUAGCGUGAAGGCUGACUGCCCUACGGGUUGUAAACUUCUUUUAUAAAGGAAUAAAGUGAGGCACGUGUGCCUUUUUGUAUGGACUUUAUGAAUAAGGAUCGGCUAACUCCGUGCCAGGAGCCGGAGUAAUACGCAGGAUCCGAGUGUUAUACGGAUUAAUUGGGUUUAAAGGGAGCGUAGAUGGGUUGUUAAGUCAGUUGUGAAAGUUUGCGGCUCAACCGUAAAAUUGCAAUUGAUACUGGCAGCCGUGAGUACAGUUGAGGUAGGCGGAAUUCGUGGUGUAGCGGUGAAAUGCUUCGAUAUCACGAAGAACUCCGAUUGCGAAGGCAGCUUACUAAACUGCCACUGACAUUGAUGCUCGAAAGUGUGGGUAUCAAACAGGAUUAGAUACCCCGGUAGUC
This 460-nucleotide ribosomal RNA is filed under the name uncultured bacterium. Its description in RNAcentral is "partial 16S ribosomal RNA". It matches the Rfam family "Bacterial small subunit ribosomal RNA", at positions 338 to 795 of the family's 1533-position model. The record is from RNAcentral.